RNAcentral lists this unclassified non-coding RNA (279 nucleotides) under uncultured Ascomycota. RNAcentral's name for it is "sequence contains 5.8S rRNA gene, ITS2, 28S rRNA gene". The record is from RNAcentral. Lineage: Eukaryota; Fungi; Ascomycota.
AACGCAUAUUGCGCCCCUUGGUAUUCUGAGGGGCAUGCCUGUUCGAGCGUCAUGAUCAGAUCUCAAGCUGUUUUUGCUUGGUAUUGGGCUUUCGUCUACUGUUAUGCCUAUGUAGUACAUACAUGGUUUUUGAAUGACGUGCCUGAAAAUCAAUGGCGGUGCCUCAAAUGGACUCAAGUGUAGUAGGCUAACUCUCGCUUUGGAGAACUUUGGGUGGUGCUGUCGACUGAAAUAAUCAAUUUGGACCUCGGAUCAGGUAGGGAUACCCGCUGAACUUAA